This 127-nucleotide small RNA is filed under the name Marmota monax (woodchuck). The record is from RNAcentral. Lineage: Eukaryota; Metazoa; Chordata; Mammalia; Rodentia; Sciuridae.
GCCAGGUGUGGUUGCGCACACCUGUAAUCUCAACAGCUGGGGAGGCUGAGGCAGGAGGAUCGUGAGUUCAAAGCCAACCUCAGCAAUUUAGUAAGGCCUUAAGCUACUCAGGGAGACCCCGUCUCUA